This 484-nucleotide ribosomal RNA is filed under the name uncultured bacterium. RNAcentral describes it as "partial 16S ribosomal RNA". It matches the Rfam family "Bacterial small subunit ribosomal RNA", at positions 30 to 507 of the family's 1533-position model. The record is from RNAcentral.
AUUGAACGCUGGCGGCAGGCCUAACACAUGCAAGUCGAGCGGAUGAAGGGAGCUUGCUCCUGGAUUCAGCGGCGGACGGGUGAGUAAUGCCUAGGAAUCUGCCUGGUAGUUGGGGAUAACGUCCGGAAACGGGCGCUAAUACCGCAUACGUCCUGAGGGAGAAAGUGGGGGAUCUUCGGACCUCACGCUAUCAGAUGAGCCUAGGUCGGAUUAGCUAGUUGGUGGGGUAAAGGCCUACCAAGGCGACGAUCCGUAACUGGUCUGAGAGGAUGAUCAGUCACACUGGGACUGAGACACGGUCCAGACUCCUACGGGAGGCAGCAGUGGGGAAUAUUGGACAAUGGGCGAAAGCCUGAUCCAGCCAUGCCGCGUGUGUGAAGAAGGUCUUCGGAUUGUAAAGCACUUUAAGUUGGGAGGAAGGGCAGUAAGUUAAUACCUUGCUGUUUUGACGUUACCAACAGAAUAAGCACCGGCUAACUUCGUG